Molecule: ribosomal RNA, 178 nt
Filed under: Cyphocharax cf. abromoide LMB-2020
Lineage: Eukaryota; Metazoa; Chordata; Actinopteri; Characiformes; Curimatidae
Description: partial small subunit ribosomal RNA
Source: RNAcentral
CCGCGGUUAUACGAGAGACCCUAGUUGAUAAAUACGGCGUAAAGAGUGGUUUGGGGCAUAUUUCAAAUAAAGCCGAAGAUCUCCCAAGCCGUCACACGCAUCCCGGAGACACGAAGCCCCAAUACGAAGGUAGCUUUAACAAACACCCCCGACGCCACGAAAGCUAAGAAACAAACUG